GGAAGGAUGUCCGAGAGGUCGAUGGUAGCUGCCUUGAAAGCAGCCGUGGGGAAACUCACCGGGGGUUCGAAUCCCUCUCCUUCCG
RNAcentral lists this transfer RNA (85 nucleotides) under Candidatus Physcosoma equi. RNAcentral's name for it is "tRNA-Ser". It matches the Rfam family "tRNA". From Rfam's summary of the family: Transfer RNA (tRNA) molecules are approximately 80 nucleotides in length. Their secondary structure includes four short double-helical elements and three loops (D, anti-codon, and T loops). Lineage: Bacteria; Pseudomonadati; Spirochaetota; Spirochaetia; Spirochaetales; Sphaerochaetaceae. The record is from RNAcentral.